RNAcentral lists this ribosomal RNA (912 nucleotides) under Lecanora cf. subcavicola. Its description in RNAcentral is "SSU rRNA". It matches the Rfam family "Bacterial small subunit ribosomal RNA", at positions 367 to 1296 of the family's 1533-position model. Lineage: Eukaryota; Fungi; Ascomycota; Lecanoromycetes; Lecanorales; Lecanoraceae. The record is from RNAcentral.
GUCAUAGCCUAACGGCUGAACCAGCAACUGGAGGAAUGUAUAGCAAUAGCUAAUUGCACCAACAAAUAGUUGAUGCAAUAUCGACUCUGUCGAAUAAAAUUCUAGGUAGAAUUAUGAUAAUGACAUUGUCUGCCUAUGUGUCUUGACCAAAUUACGUGCCAGCAGUCGCGGUAAUACGUAGAAGACUAGUGUUAUUCAUCUUUAAUAGGUUUAAAGGGUACCUAGACGGUAAAUCAAGCCUUCAAGGGGACUAAUUUACUAGAGUUACUUGUGAGGGGGUAUUAAAGUACUAAUGGUGUAGAGAUGAAAUUCUGUCAUACCUAUUUUCGGAAGAAAAAUUACGGCACAGGUAUAGGCGAAAGCAUCCCCUUAUGUGAUAACUGACGUUGAAGGACGAAGGCUUUGUGUCGCGAACAGGAUUAGAUACCCCAGUAGUCAAAGCAGAAAAUGAUGAAUGUCAUAGAUUAGACAUAUAGUUUAUUCUAUAAAUGAAAGUGUAAGCAUUCCACCUCAAGAGUAAUUUGGCAACAUUGGAACUGAAAUCAUUAGACCGUUUCUGAAACCAGUAGUGAAGUAUGUUGUUUAAUUUGUUGAUCCGCAAAAAACCUUACCACAAUUUGAAUAUUUAUAUCUUUUUUUCAUGGAAAAGAUGAGAAAAGAUAUCUUUACAAGCGUUGCACGGCUGUCUUCAGUUAAUGUCGUGAGACUUUGGUUAGUUCCAUUAAAUUAACGUAAACCCUUACUUUAUUUUUAUAUAAAGUAGUUCCCCACUAGAUUGGAUAAGAUAACAGGGACUAAGACAAGUCAUCAUGGCCUGAAUAUUGUGGGCUAUAGACGUGCCACAUAAACCUUACAAAAGGAUGUGAAUAAAUUGUGAAAAUUGAGCUAUCCCCAAAAUGAGAUACACUACAU